Molecule: ribosomal RNA, 301 nt
Filed under: uncultured bacterium
Lineage: Bacteria
Description: partial 16S ribosomal RNA
Rfam family: Bacterial small subunit ribosomal RNA
Source: RNAcentral
CAGUCGCCACGGUAAUACGAAGGGGGCUAGCGUUGUUCGGAUUUACUGGGCGUAAAGCGCACGUAGGCGGACUUUUAAGUCAGGGGUGAAAUCCCGGGGCUCAACCCCGGAACUGCCUUUGAUACUGGGAGUCUUGAGUUCGAGAGAGGUGAGUGGAAUUGCGAGUGUAGAGGUGAAAUUCGUAGAUAUUCGCAGGAACACCAGUGGCGAAGGCGGCCCACUGGCUCGAUACUGACGCUGAGGUGCGAAAGCGUGGGGAGCAAACAGGAUUAGAUACCCCAGUAGUCCCUGUCUCUUAUAC